RNAcentral lists this non-coding RNA (1538 nucleotides) under Pongo abelii (Sumatran orangutan). Lineage: Eukaryota; Metazoa; Chordata; Mammalia; Primates; Hominidae. The record is from RNAcentral.
GGUGAUUCAGGUCAUACACAUAUCAAAGCCAUAAAAAAAAAAAAGAAAAAAGCGAACGUGAGCCGCAGAUAUCUGUGUUACGGAGAGCCCAUCUUUCCUGCACCACCUGCACACCACAGAGCUCUAGUGUGUCUGUCUGAAAAAAGUCACAAUUGAACCUCAUUUAGCAGUGAGAGUAGACUUCGGUGAAAACUGGCAGGGCCUUAAAGGUGAUCCUUUAGAUCCAUGAAACACACUUGCACUGACUCCUGAAAGGCUGCCUCUGUUUAGGACCUAGUAAUAGGAGCCUGUGGGUAAAAGGCAAGUGGUAGCCCUAGCUCAUUCUCUAAUUUGAUUAAUCGUAAUUGCAGGUACUUGCUUUGCCUAUUAUCUCCCCAGCUCAUUGCCUGUAUGUCCUUCAGCCCAGCACUGCUAAGCAGGCACACAAAGAGGGUGCAGAAGUGCUCUCCCUGGUAGUAGUUUCUGUGCUCAUGGGUGCACUAUCAAAAUGAAACUGUGCCCACUCAGAAUUCUCAGUAGGAAAAGUUAAGCAGCAGUGUACUUUUGAUGACAAACAGGAACACACUGUCCAAACCAGCAAGCAGUGCAAGCUGCUUUGGAAAAGGCACAUCCACGCACGCCGAGUCUUUACCUAACGGCCAGAUUCCGUACAAUGUGAUGAGCUGUCUGACAUCUAGGAGGGAGGGCAUGGGUUCUAUGGAUACCUGGCGAAGAGUAGUCCCCAGGUAGCUGUACUCACCUGGAGAGAAAAGAAACAGAGGAACAAUAAAUGGAAAACAGCGCUGGUCUGAGCUGCAUAAUUUUGGCAUCUGCAAAAUGAUCGGAGAAUACAAAUUGAACAUUUCAGAGCAAAGAGAAUCCUAUCAGGAGAGUCAUUAUGAAGAACACACCUUUUCUCAGAUAGAGGUUUGAAGAAAAACUAUCCAGGUAAGAAAGCCCUGCUCUACUAGCUAGAGUAAACUGGGAAUUAUGUUGACUAUUAUAUUAACCUCCUAAUACUUUCUAAAACAACAUUUGAAUACUGAGUUAUGUGAAAUGGGACAAAGUGCUAAAAAGAAGGACACACAAAAAAGGCUGAAAUAUAGGGGGCUCUGCUUUAUUUAUAUUCCAAUAGAUUAUGUAUAACAUUUGUGCAAACUUUAAAAAUAAGUUAUUUAAGAUCGAUGUAGAAUUUGUAUUGGAGCAGUAUAAAUCUGAGUGUAAAAUGCAGUCAUUUGAAAGGAAGGGUAUGAGUCUAAUUUAGGAUAAAUAGAAACAUCUCCUUUUGAGGGUAAUAUUCAUUUACAUUUUUAUCAUUUUUAAGAUUACCAAAGGAAUAAUGCAGAAAUAAAUCUUUACAGGUUUAAUUAGAAGAUAUCAAAGGGCUUAAUUGUAACUAGUCAUAAAUCUGAAGUGUUAUUUUCUAACUAAUUUAGAUAAGGUCACCAAGAAAAUUAGUUUGGCUGUCUCCAUUUGUCAUGAGGAUGGACCUUUAUAGGUUCAUAUGAUUCUCUCUUGAUUUGUAUCUGAAUCUGGAAUAAAAAUAUUCAAUGAAUGAA